UUUUAUCACAGCACCUGCUCUUUUCUUUCACGUGGACUUGCUUUAGUGGUUCUGUGCAGGUCUCCUAAGACUGGGCUCCUGGGGUGGAGAGGGACUCCUUUGCCAUUUUCAGCACCAAUGCUGAGCCCACCAGGCCACCUGGCACAAGGUGAGUGCUCAGGGCAGAGUCGCUGAGUGAAUAAGUCAGCACGGGGAGAAAGUGAUUAAACCCCCUUCCUGCUUCCAUUGUCCUCAUAAUGUGGGGAUCAUUGAUACUAACAGGAGGUGCCUUUCUCAGGAGGCUAUCCCGGAGCUCCAGCUGCUCCAGCAAAGCUCCAUGGGCACCAGGGACAUGGGAGGCUGCUGCCCCCUGGUGACCAGUACUAGCACUGCAGCCCCAGGCAGGAGCAUCACAGAGGAGAAUAGGCACAUGCAUUUAGACUUUAUUAAAACUAAGAACUUCAUCAAAAGAUGCCUUCAACAAAAUAAAAAGGCAAGAACAGAGUGUGAAGAAACAUUUACCAUUUGUGUGAGAAGAGCCUGACAUGUAGGAUGUGGGACUAACUCCCAUCAAUUAAGAAGAAAGGCGACAGACACACUGGGGAGAAUGGGUAAACAAUCCGGACAUUUCCCAAAGAGUGGCCAGACAGCCAACAGGUGUAGAGAAAGAUGCUGCACAUUCUCCGUCAUCAGGGAGAUGCAGAUUAAAACCACAAUGUGAUACCACUAUGCAAUGGAUAACAUUUUAUUUGAAAAACAACAUCGAGUGUUGCUGAGGGGGCUGAGCGACUGGACUCUCACAUGCCGCUGUGUGUGUAAACUGCUACAAACACCCUCAAAAGCCCUUUGAUAAUAUUUUCUAAAGACGGAAAUAUACAUUCUAUGGCCCCACAAUUUGACUCAGGUAUAGAUCCGUUAGAAAUGCCUGCAUCUGUUCACCACGCAAAAGAACGUCCACAAAUGGCCAGAACUAUGACAGUUAAGGGAGGCAUAUGAAAUGCUAUGCUAUGCUUCAACACACAAAUUCACAGAAUCAACCUAAAUGCCCAUAAAUGGAAGACUGGAUAAAGAAAAUGUGGUGCAAAUACACCAUGAAAUACUAUGCAGCCAUAGAAAAAGAAUGAGAUCAUGUGCUUUGCAGGAACGUGGGUGGAGCUGGAGGCCAUUAUCCUUAGCAAACUAAGACAGGAACAGAAAACCAAAUCCUGCAUGUUCUCCUAAGUGGGAGCUAAAUGAUAAGAACACAUGGACACGAAGAGGGGAUCAACAGACAAUGAGGCCUAGCAAAGGGUGGAGGGUGGGAGGAGGGAAAGGAGCAGAAAAAAUAACUAUUUGGUCCUAGGCUUAGUACCUGGGUAAUGAAAUAGUCUGUACAUCAAACCCCUGUGACAUGAGUUUACCUAUAAAAUAAACCUGCACAGCCACCCCUGAGCCUAAAAUAAAAGUUUUUUUAAAAAAACAAAUUCAAGCAAUUGGAUCUGGACUUUCAUUUUUCUGGUUAAUCCCAAGGCCAGCAGGCAUAGGGGUUGGUUCAAGACUCUGGCAUCGUAGCAUCUAGAUUCCUGUCCUGGGUAUCACCACUUCCUAUCUCAGAGAUCUUGGCCAUGGUACUAACUCUCCAAGCUCCAGUUUCAUUAUCUGUAAAAGGAGUUAAUUAUGCUUCCCAUUUCAUAGUUAUUCAGAGGAUUAAAUCCUCACAAGAAAUACUAGCUCUUGUGGGACUUCAUGUUGUUUUUUGUUCUAUGAACUAUGGAGAAGACAGAUGAUGACCUGUGGUAAAGGAAGGAGAAGCAUGAGGUUCAACCCAAAGAUGUUGUCAAGGUGAAAUGUAGACAGGGCCUCUUGGCUUGAACCGAUAAAUACAAUCUAUAGUUGUAAAUUCUGAGGCCAUCCAUUAAUAAAUCCUCCAUUCCUCCCACCUUUGUCUACAAUUUUGUUAAUAACGCUCGAUGACAUCAUCAAUCAGAAGAUAGCCCAGGGCAGGGUCUCCCCUGAAAUUCUCCCUCCAGGUGACAGUGAUCCAUUAAGCAGCCUGCUAUGUGGCAAGAAGGAAAACGGGUUUGGAUGUGUGUUGCUGCCACAGCAGCAGCUAAGAGCCCCAGGGACUUGGCUGCUGGCAGCAUCCUCUACCAGAGUUUUCCUUCGACAGUGAGAAGACUCCCAGAGUCCUUAGGAGCCAGGAUCUGGCUGUCGGGAGACAGCAUUCAUUCAUGCAUUCAUUCAGUCGUUCUUCAUUCAUUUGAAAAAACAUAUUGAAGUCUUCUACAGGCUAGAUGUGCUAUGUAUGUCCUUAUAAUAAAGGUCAAUAGGACACAAUGCCUGCCCUCAAGGAGCUUGCCUGUCUAAUAGAGAGUAAUAUCACAGCCAGAAGGACUCUAUGAAAGAAUCCAGCCAGGUCAUGCCACUCUUCUGCUCAAUACUCUGCAAUGGCUCCCAUGCUCCUCAGAGUAAAGUUCAAGGUCCUUCCCACAGCCCCAUAGGACCUGGCCACCCCAUAGUUCUUGUCCACCCCCCCCCCCCCUGCAGCCGCACCGCCCUCAUUUUCAAACACAGCAGCCAAGUGCGCGCCUGCCUCCAGAACCUUGCACUGUACUUGUCUUUUUUUGUCUAGAUGCUCUUCCCCCAAACACCUACCCUCCCCUUCCUUGCAAGCCUUUCCUCGGAAGACACCUUCUCAGUGAGGCUUUGUCAAGCCCCACCCCAUCUAAAAUUUCAACACUCCCCAGCACUUCAUAUCCUCUUCCUGAUUUAUUUCUUCUUCUCAGGACAUCUUCCUCUCUAAUAUUCUCUACCCUACUUACUAAUCUUGUUUAAU
This 2794-nucleotide long non-coding RNA is filed under the name Pan troglodytes (chimpanzee). RNAcentral's name for it is "long non-coding RNA NONPTRT003351". The record is from RNAcentral. Lineage: Eukaryota; Metazoa; Chordata; Mammalia; Primates; Hominidae.